Molecule: long non-coding RNA, 1361 nt
Filed under: Salvia miltiorrhiza (redroot sage)
Lineage: Eukaryota; Viridiplantae; Streptophyta; Magnoliopsida; Lamiales; Lamiaceae
Description: long non-coding RNA (SMIL_LNC013489)
Source: RNAcentral
AAAUAAUUUAGAAUGGAAUGGGAUAUGGCCCCGAAGAGUGGCGCGCUCACUUGUAUUAUUUCUUCAUUAUUGAACGGUGGGAAUCCCUGGAUGAUAUUCUUUAAAUUUUUACUCUUCCUUUUUUAAUUCUGAAGUUUAAUUUUCUCGCUGCAUAAGUCGUCGACAGUUUUUGUCUUUUCAUUUACCUCGUUUUGUUGGUCCCUCGAAAUUUCGACACUUUUUACUUUUUCGUGUCUCCGAUUUGGACUGUUGUGUAAAGAUAAAAUAUGCUUGGAUUUUCAUCAUGUCUUUUCUUUUUUUGAGGGAGAUUUUCAUCAUGUCUUAAUGUGCAUGUAUUCAAAAGUUGUUGCUAUGUGCGUGUAGGUUUUCUCACCAUUUUCGUUUUUUCAUAUAAUUGCAUUAGUAUUUGUCUAGUUAUUUCUAAUUUUAAUUUUUUUGUAUUCAUUUCUUACGCAAAAAAAAAAAAAACGAUAAUUGCAAGUAAAUGUAGAAAUUCACUUGAUUCUAAUUUUGCACAUGAAUUAAAAUUUAUACUUUCAAUACAUGAAUUUCUUCAAUUUUCGUAAUUUUUUAUACUGUUGUUCUUCAUCAUGGCUAGUUAAAAUUACGUGGACAUUGAGUUAUAUCAUUUAAUAUAUAGGCCGUUUAAGUAUGUAGACAUUUCAAACAUUAAUCUAAUCAUGCGAAAAUAAGAGUAUUUUUCAUGUAUUUGGGGAUAAAAAUUUAAUUUAUGUGCAAAAAUCAAAAUAUAGUAAAAAUUUCGUGUAUUUAGACUUAAUUAUUGGAAAAAUAAAAAUGGAACUCGUUAUGGAUCAAUUUUAAUUUUAAUUUUAAUUUAUUGUAGGUAUCGGUGGAUUGCACAAUUGCCAUUAGCCCAAGAAAGCAAGCCCUAAUAUACAAGCAGUGUGGAUUCGACGGCCUCAGCGUCUGAUAUAUUGGUCAUGUGGUCCCCACCGCCCCUCUUUGUUUCUCUUUCUUUCUUUAAUUUCUCUCUCUAGAAAUCGAAAAGGGAAAUUCCCGUGGAGAGAGUGAGAGAUGGGGAGUUUACAAAGUGAAUUCCCACAAAGUUGAAAGCAAUUAAUUGAGAUAUGAGUAUGAGGGGUUUCUGCAAAUUUUGUAUUCUUGUGUAAAGUUCCUAAAAUCUGCUCGAUUCAAUGAUAUUCCACUUGACUUAGAAUAUGGUGCCAUAUUUCAUUAUGCGUUGUGCUAUAACAUGGUAUGUCGUCGGUGUAGGUCCAGCUCGGUCGGCUCUUACUGUGGGCGCCAAGACUGAUUGAAGCUCUUUUUUUUUAUUUUGUGGUCUCGUAUGGUAUUUUUAUACUUUUUUGAACGAAUUAUUUUAUUGCACGUAGAAUAAGAAG